UAGUGUGUUAUGUAACUUCUUACCAUAUCUAUCGCAGUUAAACACAGCUAGGAAAAAAACAACAAAUUUUUCUAUUAGAUUGAGAUUUGGUGUUAAGUUGUGAUUACAUAUUUUUACAAAGCUUAUAUCAACUCACUCUGUCUGUCUAUCUGUCUGGUAAAAAGUGUGUACACGUUAUUUCUCUUAAACCCUAUCAAGCUGAAAUUCUGCACAAUAACUUCUUUUACCUGACAACGCAAGAAUCUAUUUAAAAAAAUAAAUUAACCAAUUAGUUUAAUUGACUAUUGGUAAUUAAUUAUUUUUUGAACUAAUCGAACAAGGGAAAGAAAUUGUACUUGACUGAACCAGGUGGUAUAAACUGAAUUUGUCCCCUUUGUAGGUCGUCGUCUGAGGCUUAGUGAACACAAACAAGAAAUAGGACGAGACUAUAAAAACAAUAGAUAACUACACAAUCUUCCAUGUUCAUAGGCUCUCCACUAAGAGUGGUUACCGUGUUGGCUUGAGAAGCCUGAGAAGGCCCUCGACUUCGAAUUCAGGUCAUUAACUUUUUUUUUAAAAAUACAUUUAAAAAGCGAUAACAUCAUAACCCAGAUACCUUUUUUUCUUUCUCCUCCCACCCUUUUCAACUGGCCCAAACAAGUCAUAGGAUCAUAGCCAUAGACAUAAAUAAAUAUAGACUGGAAGUAGGAAGUUUUUAUUAUUUCGGGGGAGUCAAAUAUGUUUUAUGUACUAAAUCUAUGUGAAAAAAAAUGGCGGCAAUUGAGCUAUAAACUCUAGGACUGACAUUUCAGCCAAUAUAUAAUUAUGAUCUUUAGUUUUGAAAAGUACCAAACUGCCAUAUUCACAAUAUUUUGCCUUUGUUUCAUAAUCAUAGACAUAGGCAAAUAUAUAUAGGUUUGUGAUGUGGAUCUAUGUUUGUUGACAUGGCUUCUUUAUUAAUUUAUGGCGGUCGUCUUAUCGAUUCAAAUUGUUAGAAUUAGUUUUUAGUUUAAAAAAGUCAAAGAAAAUUAGCAGAACGUGCUCUAAUGUUCGUAGUACGAUAAGCCAAGGAUAAAUUCUAAAGGUUGAAAAAAAAUGGAAUAUUAUACACAGUAACUUUCACUUUCAGUAAGUCAGAAUUAUUCAGUAUCACUGUGACUGUCACUAAUUUAAUAAUGAUAGAUCUAAAUCUAAUAACUAUGACUAAUAUUUGUAAUAACUAGGUCUAAUACUUUUCAUACUUUUUACUACUAACUAUUAAACUAGUCAGUCUAUCAUCUAUGCAUGCAGGCUAUAGACUAGAUCUAGUAUAAGUAUAGAUUAAAGAUCUAGUGACAAUCUAGUCCUAGACCAUUUAUAUACCAACUAUAGACUAUAGACUAGACUAUAUAGAUUACAAUUAUAGUUUAUAGUAUAGUAUAGUAGUAUAGUACUAGUAGUAAGUAGUAUUUUUUACUAUAUUAUUUAUACAGACUAGAUCUAAAUCUAGUAUUUAAAACUAUUUAUAAUUAUUUUAAUAAUGUAAAUUUAAUAGUAAAAAAAAACAUGGCAUAUAUAAAAUCUAGAAU
Non-coding RNA from Biomphalaria pfeifferi, 1547 nucleotides. Lineage: Eukaryota; Metazoa; Mollusca; Gastropoda; Planorbidae. The record is from the annotation of a GenBank genome assembly.